ACGAACGCUGGCGGCGCGCCUAACACAUGCAAGUCGAACGGAGCUGAGAGAAGCUUGCUUUUCUUAGCUUAGUGGCGAACGGGUGAGUAACGCGUGAGUAACCUGCCCUGGAGUGGGGGACAACAGUUGGAAACGACUGCUAAUACCGCAUAAGCCCACGAUCCGGCAUCGGAUUGAGGGAAAAGGAUUUAUUCGCUUCAGGAUGGACUCGCGUCCAAUUAGCUAGUUGGUGAGGUAACGGCCCACCAAGGCGACGAUUGGUAGCCGGACUGAGAGGUUGAACGGCCACAUUGGAACUGAGACACGGCCCAGACUCCUACGGGAGGCAGCAGUGGGGGAUAUUGCACAAUGGGGGAAACCUUGAUGCAGCGACGCCGCGUGGAGGAAGAAGGUUUUCGGAUUGUAAACUCCUGUCGUUAGGGACGAUAAUGACGGUACCUAACAAGAAAGCACCGGCUAACUACGUG
RNAcentral lists this ribosomal RNA (467 nucleotides) under uncultured bacterium. RNAcentral describes it as "partial 16S ribosomal RNA". It matches the Rfam family "Bacterial small subunit ribosomal RNA", at positions 29 to 507 of the family's 1533-position model. The record is from RNAcentral.